CCUACGGGGGGCAGCAGUGGGGAAUAUUGCGCAAUGGGCGAAAGCCUGACGCAGCGACGCCGCGUGAGGGAUGAAGGUCUUCGGAUCGUAAACCUCUGUCAGCAGGGAAGAACGGUCACUGUGCUAAUCAGCAGUGAAUUGACGGUACCUGCAAAGGAAGCACAGGCUAACUCCGUGCCAGCCGCCGCGGUAAUACGGAGGGUGCGAGCGUUAAUCGGAAUUACUGGGCGUAAGGCGCUCGUAGGCGGUAUGUCAAGUCAAGGGUGAAAUCCCCGCGCUCAACGUGGGAACUGCCUUUGAAACUGGCAGACUGGAGUGUGGGAGAGGAUAGUGGAAUUUCAGGUGUAGGAGUGAAAUCCGUAGAUAUCUGGAAGAACAUCGGUGGCGAAGGCGACUAUCUGGCACAUAACUGACGCUGAGGAGCGAAAGCGUGGGUAGCAAACAGGAUUAGAUACCCGGGUAGUC
Molecule: ribosomal RNA, 465 nt
Filed under: uncultured bacterium
Lineage: Bacteria
Description: partial 16S ribosomal RNA
Rfam family: Bacterial small subunit ribosomal RNA
Source: RNAcentral